Molecule: ribosomal RNA, 484 nt
Filed under: uncultured bacterium
Lineage: Bacteria
Description: partial 16S ribosomal RNA
Rfam family: Bacterial small subunit ribosomal RNA
Source: RNAcentral
AUUGAACGCUGGCGGCAUGCCUUACACAUGCAAGUCGAACGGCAGCACGUACUUCGGUCUGGUGGCGAGUGGCGAACGGGUGAGUAAUGUAUCUGAUCGUACCUUUCAUUGGGGGAUAACGUAGCGAAAGUUACGCUAAUACCGCAUAUUCUGUGAGCAGGAAUGCAGGGGAUCGAAAGACCUUGCGCUGAUUGCGCGGCCGAUAUCAGUUUAGCUAGUUGGUGGGGUAAAGGCCUACCAAGGCGACGAUCUGUAGCGGGUCUGAGAGGAUGAUCCGCCACACGGGAACUGAGACACGGUCCAGACUCCGACGGGAGGCAGCAGUGGGGAAUUUUAGGCAAUGGGGGAAACGCUGAUCCAGCAAAGCCGCGUGAGUGAAGAAGGACUUAGGGUUGUAAAGCUAUUUCGGCCGGGAAGAAAUCGCAUAGGCUAAGACCCUGUGUGGAUGACGGUACCGGAAUAAGAAGCACCGGCUAACUACGUG